This 1713-nucleotide unclassified non-coding RNA is filed under the name Homarus americanus (American lobster). RNAcentral's name for it is "aarF domain-containing protein kinase 1-like, transcript variant X4". Lineage: Eukaryota; Metazoa; Arthropoda; Malacostraca; Decapoda; Nephropidae. The record is from RNAcentral.
UAAGGCUGUGAACACUAACAACAGAUGGUACCCACACUAGUCCUGGGGUUGGCUGGGUCGACCAGUGACCCCCUCACACCCUACACCUAUGGGCAUUACUUAACCGGCUUGAAAAGGGCAUACACGGUACCUUCAUAGGGGAGAUAAUAUAUUUAUAAAAAUGGCACAUCGCAUGCUGCUACGACUGGGUCUGCUGGGUGUUGGAGGAGCAUCAAUAACAUACAACAUUGAUGAGCUAGAAACAGCAGCAAUUGGAGCUCUUAGAUUUGGUCGAGCGGCAGUUGCGGUAACAAAAAUCAUCACCGAGUAUCGAUCAGCAUUAUACUCUGGCUCCAUCACUCCGGAAUCUGACAACUAUAAAGAGAUGAAAUCGCAGACUCAUUUGCAUUCUGCUAGGGAGUUACUAGAUUUAUGCUGUACAAAUGGUGGGGCCUUUGUGAAGGUUGGUCAACAUCUGGGGUCCCUGGAGUACCUACUGCCUGUAGAGUAUGUUAACACAAUGAAGGUCUUACAUUCCAACGCUCCCAGGUCUUCUCUCGAGGAUGUCUACCAGGUCAUCGAGGAGGAACUCAAAUGUAAGCCCAAAGAAUUAUUUUUAGAAUUUGAACCAGAGCCUUUGGGCGCAGCAUCCCUUGCACAAGUCCAUCGUGCAAAGCUUCAUGAUGGGCGGGAAGUAGCUGUGAAGGUGCAGCACCGAAGUGUCAAGGCUCACUCUAAGGUUGACAUGAAGGGAAUGGAGCUGCUUGUGAAAAUGGUGUCACAUAUUUUCCCUGACUUCAGAUUUGAAUGGUUAGUGGAGGAGAUGAAGAAGAAUUUACCAAAGGAGCUGGAUUUUAUGCAUGAAGCAAGGAAUGCUGAAAAAGUUGCUGCACAGUUUGCUCAUUUCUCUUGGUUAAAGAUCCCAUUCAUUGACUGGAGCCAUACAACAGACAGGGUUCUGGUUAUGGAAUUUUGUGAAGGUGGUCAAGUGAAUGACCGAAACUAUAUGGUUGCUAAAGGAAUCAACACCAGUGAAGUUUCUGAAAGAAUUGGCAGAUUAUAUUCAGAAAUGAUCUUCGUCAAUGGUUAUGUUCACUGUGACCCUCACCCAGGCAAUGUAUUGGUGAAAAAAGUCAACAAUGAAGCCCAAAUUAUUCUGCUGGAUCAUGGCCUUUAUACGAAUUUGACCAGUGAUUUUCGUAUCACAUACAGCAAGUUCUGGUUAAGUAUACUUAAUGCAGAUCUCAAAGCGAUUCAGCGUUAUGGAGACCAGUUGGGUGUUGGGGAACUGUUUGGUUUAUUUGCUUGCAUGGUGACUGGUCGGUCCUGGGACUCUAUAUCUAAGGGGAUUGAUAAGAAAGAGCGAUCGUCAGCAGAGCAAGAUGCAAUCAAAGCUGAUGCAGCCAAGUAUCUGCCAGAGAUAUCUGCUGUGCUGAAUAGAGUUCCUCGUCAAAUGCUUCUCAUCCUUAAGACAAAUGAUCUGCUUAGGGGGAUUGAGUUCUCCCUUAAUACUCAAGAGAGAAGCUUCCCUGUGGCCGAGCAUGUGGCGUGACACGCAAAUAGUCACACUGAAACCUGAUAACCCGCACUGAGCAUUCAAACAAGGCCGCGAAAAGUAUGAAAUCAUUUAUCACGAUGUCACGAUGUUGCAUACGUUCGCUGUUUGCUCACCAGAGGAUACUUUGUAAUUCUACUCUUUGUUCUGUGAGAGUGAGUGUUGCAGAGACUUGGGCA